UACGUAGGGUGCAAGCGUUAAUCGGAAUUACUGGGCGUAAAGCGUGCGCAGGCGGUGAUGUAAGACAGGUGUGAAAUCCCCGGGCUUAACCUGGGAAUUGCGUUUGGAGACUGCAAGGCUGGAGUCUGGCAGAGGGGGGUAGAAUUCCACGUGUAGCAGUGAAAUGCGUAGAGAUGUGGAGGAACACCGAUGGCGAAGGCAGCCUCCUGGGCUAGUACUGACGCUCAUGGCACGAAAAGCGUGGGGAGCAAACAGG
RNAcentral lists this ribosomal RNA (256 nucleotides) under uncultured bacterium. RNAcentral describes it as "partial 16S ribosomal RNA". It matches the Rfam family "Bacterial small subunit ribosomal RNA", at positions 524 to 776 of the family's 1533-position model. The record is from RNAcentral.